RNAcentral lists this ribosomal RNA (935 nucleotides) under uncultured bacterium. RNAcentral's name for it is "bacterial SSU rRNA". It matches the Rfam family "Bacterial small subunit ribosomal RNA", at positions 8 to 916 of the family's 1533-position model. The record is from RNAcentral.
AGAGUUUGAUCAUGGCUCAGAACGAACGCUAGCGGCGUGCCUAACACAUGCAAGUCGUACGAGAAAUCCUGGGCAACUGGGAGAGUAAAGUGGCGCACGGGUGAGUAACGCGUGGGUAAUCUACCUUGGAGUUCGGAAUAACACCUCGAAAGGGGUGCUAAUACCGGAUAUCGUCCCAGGGGUUUCGGCUCCGGGGAUGAAAGAUGGCUGAGGCUUGCAAGCUAUUGCUCCAAGAUGAGCCCGCGUACCAUUAGCUAGUUGGUGGGGUAACGGCCCACCAAGGCAAUGAUGGUUAGCUGGUCUGAGAGGAUGACCAGCCACACUGGAACUGAGAUACGGUCCAGACUCCUACGGGAGGCAGCAGUGAGGAAUCUUGCGCAAUGGGGGCAACCCUGACGCAGCAACGCCGCGUGAGUGAUGAAGGCCUUCGGGUCGUAAAGCUCUGUCAGGCGGAAAGAAUGUUUUCAGGGUGAACAAUCCUGGAGAUUGACGGUACCGCCAGAGGAAGCACCGGCUAACUCCGUGCCAGCAGCCGCGGUAAUACGGAGGGUGCUAGCGUUGUUCGGAAUUAUUGGGCGUAAAGAGCGUGUAGGCGGCCUCGUAAGUCAGAUGUGAAAGCCCUUGGCUUAACCAAGGAAGUGCAUUUGAAACUGCCUGGCUUGAGUACGGGAGGGGAAAGCGGAAUUCCCGGUGUAGAGGUGAAAUUCGUAGAUAUCGGGAGGAACACCGGUGGCGAAGGCGGCUUUCUGGACCGAUACUGACGCUGAGACGCGAAAGCGUGGGGAGCAAACAGGAUUAGAUACCCUGGUAGUCCACGCCGUAAACUUUGGGCACUAGGUGUUGCGGGUAUUGACCCCUGCAGUGCCGAAGCUAACGCAUUAAGUGCCCCGCCUGGGGAGUACGGUCGCAAGACUAAAACUCAAAGGAAUUGACGG